RNAcentral lists this long non-coding RNA (282 nucleotides) under Scleropages formosus (Asian bonytongue). RNAcentral's name for it is "lncRNA (ENSSFOG00015031193.1)". The record is from RNAcentral. Lineage: Eukaryota; Metazoa; Chordata; Actinopteri; Osteoglossiformes; Osteoglossidae.
GCCCAGCUCAUCAGUCACGUCGUCAAUGUUGCUCUGUUGCUCCAGUAGCGGAAUUGGCUGUUUUUCUCUCUAGAAUAAAUGUUAAAUGCCUCUAAACACAGAAACAAAUUAAAGACGUUUCCUGGUAAAAUGUGCAGUGGAAAUCGCCAGUUUACGUUUCGACGUGCAGUGAACACCAAAUAUUAUAAAAAUACAAUAACCAGUUGUAUAUUACCAGUGUGGGCAAAUUGCCAAGAUUAUGAUGGGCGGAAAAGAGGAUUAAGAUACGGAAUACCCAAGUGA